CACACCUCAGCUCUCCUGCUGGACGCCUGCUCUGGUAUUUCUCCAGUGUUCAUCAGUGUGUGGCUGGCAGAGAUCAUCAUACUCAUAUCACUGCUGGUGGGAGGGUAUUACCUCUACAUAAGAAACAAGAGAACACACACUCCAGAUGAGCGUAAGGACCAGGAAGUGGAGCUCUCUCCGACCUCUAUGAGCCGCAGG
This is a long non-coding RNA of Clupea harengus (Atlantic herring), 198 nucleotides long. RefSeq lists it as uncharacterized. NCBI's taxonomy places the organism in Eukaryota, Metazoa, Chordata, Actinopteri, Clupeiformes, Clupeidae. The record is from RefSeq and is a predicted model, not a curated record. The transcript has 3 exons.